Athalia rosae (coleseed sawfly) is the source of this 558-nucleotide long non-coding RNA. RefSeq lists it as uncharacterized. The record is from RefSeq and is a predicted model, not a curated record. The transcript is spliced from 2 exons. Lineage: Eukaryota; Metazoa; Arthropoda; Insecta; Hymenoptera; Athaliidae.
ACAACGUCGACGCGAUGCAUGUUGUGGACCACGACGAUGAACAAUUUCUUUGCUGAAUAUUCCUUGAAGAAUUCUUCAGUCGAAAGGAUCUUUUCCAGCUUGAUCUCGGACGCGGGAGACACGUUUAUAAUAAUUCUGGAUGUCGACUAUUUCCGGUCAAAUCAGGCCCAAUAAAACAGGCAAUUGAAUAACAGUGGGCAAUGUGCAGAUCCUGAGUGUUUUGAUCAUACUGUAUCUCAUUGUCAGUGAAGAUUUCAUGCAAUUGACUUGUUAUCGGCGUGAGUAGCAUUGAACAUGCGAUCUUAUUUAUCUACUUGUACCUGCGACCAUAUUCACCCUUGAAACAAUACCAUCAAAUAAGGAGUUGAGACAUGUUUUUUGUAACUUCGUUUUAUUAAAAUUUCCUCAAGCUGUGUAUUCUAUUACGAAAAAUCCUGUGAUUUUUCCAAAUUCCUGUUCAAUUCCUAUAACAAUUUAUGGACUUACCUGAAAAUUGCCAGUUCAUGGUUGAAUUUUAUGAAAAUUUUGGAGUAAAAUAAAAAUUACUUGUCGGAUCCU